RNAcentral lists this ribosomal RNA (253 nucleotides) under uncultured bacterium. RNAcentral's name for it is "partial 16S ribosomal RNA". It matches the Rfam family "Bacterial small subunit ribosomal RNA", at positions 524 to 776 of the family's 1533-position model. The record is from RNAcentral.
UACGUAGGGGGCAAGCGUUGUUCGGAAUUACUGGGCGUAAAGGGCGCGUAGGCGGCACGGCAAGUCGGGAGUGAAAGGCCUGGGCUCAACCGAGGAACUGCUUUCGAGACUGCCGAGCUAAAGUGCGGAAGGGGCAACCGGAAUUCCCAGUGUAGCGGUGAAAUGCGUAGAUAUUGGGAAGAACACCUGAGGCGAAGGCGGGUUGCUGGGCCGACACUGACGCUGAGGCGCGAAAGCCAGGGGAGCAAACGGG